UACGAAGGGGGCUAGCGUUGCUCGGAAUCACUGGGCGUAAAGGGUGCGUAGGCGGGUCUUUAAGUCAGGGGUGAAAUCCUGGAGCUCAACUCCAGAACUGCCUUUGAUACUGAGGAUCUUGAGUUCGGGAGAGGUGAGUGGAACUGCGAGUGUAGAGGUGAAAUUCGUAGAUAUUCGCAAGAACACCAGUGGCGAAGGCGGCUCACUGGCCCGAUACUGACGCUGAUGCGCGAAAGCGUGGGUAGCAAACAGG
This 253-nucleotide ribosomal RNA is filed under the name uncultured bacterium. RNAcentral's name for it is "partial 16S ribosomal RNA". It matches the Rfam family "Bacterial small subunit ribosomal RNA", at positions 524 to 776 of the family's 1533-position model. The record is from RNAcentral.